CCUACGGGAGGCUGCAGUGAGGAAUAUUGGUCAAUGGACGCAAGUCUGAACCAGCCAUGCCGCGUGCAGGAAGACGGCCCUAUGAGUUGUAAACUGCUUUUGUACGAGGGUAAAUCCCGAUACGUGUAUCUUGUUGAACGUAUCGUACGAAUAAGCAUCGGCUAACUCCGUGCCAGCAGCCGCGGUAAUACGGAGGAUGCGAGCGUUAUCCGGAUUUAUUGGGUUUAACGGGUGCGCAGGCGGAAGAUCAAGUCAGCGGUAAAAUUGAGAGGCUCAACCUCUUCGAGCCGUUGAAACUGGUAGGCUUGAGUGAGGGAGAGGUAGGCGGAAUGCGUGGUGUAGCGGUGAAAUGCAUAGAUAUCACGCAGAACUCCGAUUGCGAAGGCAGCAUACCGGAGCGCAACUGACGCUCAUGCACGAAAGUGUGGGUAUCGAACAGGAUUAGAUACCCGUGUAGUC
RNAcentral lists this ribosomal RNA (459 nucleotides) under uncultured bacterium. Its description in RNAcentral is "partial 16S ribosomal RNA". It matches the Rfam family "Bacterial small subunit ribosomal RNA", at positions 338 to 795 of the family's 1533-position model. The record is from RNAcentral.